CCAGACUCCUACGGGAGGCAGCAGUGGGGAAUAUUGCACAAUGGGGGAAACCCUGAUGCAGCAACGCCGCGUGGGUGAAGGAGCGUUUCGGCGCGUAAAGCCCUGUCAGCGGGGAAGAAGAAAGACGGUACCCGACCAAGAAGCCCCGGCUAACUACGUGCCAGCAGCCGCGGUAAUACGUAGGGGGCAAGCGUUGUCCGGAAUGACUGGGCGUAAAGGGAGUGUAGGCGGCCUUUAAGUUAUAUGUGAAAGCCCCCGGCUUAACCGAGGAACUGCAUAUAAAACUGGAGGGCUGGAGUGCAGGAGAGGUAAGCGGAAUUUCUAGUGUAGCGGUGGAAUGCGUAGAUAUUAGGAAGAACACCGGAGGCGAAGGCGGCUUACUGGACUGUAACUGACGCUGAGGCUCGAAAGCGUGGGGAGCAAACAGGAUUAGAUACCCUGGUAC
RNAcentral lists this ribosomal RNA (445 nucleotides) under uncultured bacterium. RNAcentral's name for it is "bacterial SSU rRNA". It matches the Rfam family "Bacterial small subunit ribosomal RNA", at positions 331 to 793 of the family's 1533-position model. The record is from RNAcentral.